AUUGAACGCUGGCGGCAGGCUUAACACAUGCAAGUCGAACGGUAGCAGGAGAAAGCUUGCUUUCUUGCUGACGAGUGGCGGACGGGUGAGUAAUGCUUGGGAAUCUGGCUUAUGGAGGGGGAUAACGACGGGAAACUGUCGCUAAUACCGCGUAUUAUCGGAAGAUGAAAGUGCGGGACUGAGAGGCCGCAUGCCAUAGGAUGAGCCCAAGUGGGAUUAGGUAGUUGGUGGGGUAAAUGCCUACCAAGCCUGCGAUCUCUAGCUGGUCUGAGAGGAUGACCAGCCACACUGGAACUGAGACACGGUCCAGACUCCUACGGGAGGCAGCAGUGGGGAAUAUUGCGCAAUGGGGGGAACCCUGACGCAGCCAUGCCGCGUGAAUGAAGAAGGCCUUAGGGUUGUAAAGUUCUUUCGGUAUUGAGGAAGGUUGAUGUGUUAAUAGCACAUCAAAUUGACGUUAAAUACAGAAGAAGCACCGGCUAACUCCGUGCCAGCAGCCGCGGUAAUACGGAGGGUGCGAGCGUUAAU
This 528-nucleotide ribosomal RNA is filed under the name uncultured bacterium. Its description in RNAcentral is "bacterial SSU rRNA". It matches the Rfam family "Bacterial small subunit ribosomal RNA", at positions 28 to 545 of the family's 1533-position model. The record is from RNAcentral.